GCUCAUGCUUCUUGGGGAGCCCCUAGUGGUCCUGGCACCCUCACCUGACGUGUCUUCAGAGCUGGUACUAGCCCUAACCAGCUGCCUACAGCCCCUGAAGUUCUGCUGUGACUUCCGCCCCUACUUCACCAUUCACGACAGUGAGUUCAAGGAGCUCACAACUCGAACCCAGGCUCCGGGAGCCCAAGAUGUCAGGGGACCUACCUAAGCAGGUCAAGCUUAAAAAACCGUCUCGGCUGAAGACCCUCGACACCAAGCCAGGCCUCUACACCUCCUAUACUGCCCACCUCCACCGGGACAAAGCCCUGCUUAAACGACUGCUCAAGGGCAUCCAGAAGAAGCGGCCAUGGGAUGUGCAAAGCGCCCUGCUGAGGCGGUACCUUCUAGAGCUCACACAGAGUUUCAUCA
RNAcentral lists this long non-coding RNA (408 nucleotides) under Rattus norvegicus (Norway rat). Its description in RNAcentral is "long non-coding RNA NONRATT027231". The record is from RNAcentral. Lineage: Eukaryota; Metazoa; Chordata; Mammalia; Rodentia; Muridae.